ACUCCUACGGGAGGCAGCAGUGGGAAUAUUGCACAAUGGGAAAGCCAUCGAUGCAGCCAUGCCGCGUGUGUGAAGAAGGCCAAUUCGGGCUUGGUUAAAGAACUUUUCAGUAGGGAGGAAGGUAGUGUAGUUAACACCUGCAUUAUUUGACGUUACCUACAGAAGAAGCACCGGCUAACUCCGUGCCAGCAGCCGCGGUAAUACGGAGGGUGCGAGCGUUAAUCGGAAUUACUGGGCGUAAAGCGCAUGCAGGCGGCCUGUUAAGUCAGAUGUGAAAGCCCGGGGCUUAACCUCGGAAUUGCAUUUGAAACUGGCAGGCUAGAGUCUUGUAGAGGGGG
This 338-nucleotide ribosomal RNA is filed under the name uncultured bacterium. RNAcentral's name for it is "bacterial SSU rRNA". It matches the Rfam family "Bacterial small subunit ribosomal RNA", at positions 335 to 660 of the family's 1533-position model. The record is from RNAcentral.